Molecule: long non-coding RNA, 2790 nt
Organism: Lagenorhynchus albirostris (white-beaked dolphin)
Lineage: Eukaryota; Metazoa; Chordata; Mammalia; Artiodactyla; Delphinidae
Exons: 8
Source: RefSeq, a predicted model, not a curated record
GGUUGGGGGCCGGGCGGGGCCUUAAGGGGCCAUGUCCCACUUACUUCUCAUUCCUUCAGAGCCCCUACUGCUCCCCCUUCUUCCUCCCACCAGAAGUCCCGCUUGCGCCUUCCUGUGGAGCCAGAGGGAGAAGAGGUGAACCAGAAGUAUAACAUGCAUCCAGAGAAGUGCAAAGACUUGGGCAUUUUACAAAGUGAAUACACCCAGCACCGAGAUCAAGAAACACCAUAAUCAGGAUCCGGAAGUCCCCCCAAAUAUCAGAGGCAAAGACUUCUGAAGGCCAGUGCUCCAACUUGAGAAAGCUGUGGAGGCUGUGGUUCAGGUCCGGGGAAUGAGCAUGGACGAAGUAGAAUAGUAUGCUGACUAGACCAGUGCUUCUCAAACUGCAGUGUGCCACUGAAUGACCCAGGCAUCUGGUUGAAAGGCAGGUUCUGAUUCAGCAAGCUGGGAAGGGGAUGCUGCGAUGCUACAUUCCUGUCAAGCUCCUACACUUGGUUAGCAAGGCCUUGAACCCAGAGAUUCUCAAUAAUGCUGUACAUAAGAAUCACACGGGAGGCUUUUCAAAACACUGCUGCCCAGGUCCCACCCCAGAACAAUUCAGUUGCAAUCUCUGGGGUGGGGCUCACAUCCAUAGGUUUUAAAAGCUCCCCUGGUGAUUCCAGUGUGCAACCAGAAACAGUGGAUGCUGGUUCCCUGGAGCACCCCCAGUGCCUGAGCUGAGGUGGGAGGGAAGUGAGGUGUGGGGUCAGGUCCGGUGUCUGAGCAAACGAUCCAGUAUGACAAAGGGCAAGAGAUUUCUUAGUCAGCAAUGGACCAUUUGCCCCUUAGUGGAGGUGAAGGGAGGGAUUUCUGAAGGAAUUCUUUGGCGUGGGGCUACCUGCUAACCCAGGUCACAUCCUCCCAGGACCAAGAACAGACCUGUGCCUUCACCUUAUCAAGCAAGUCAGAGCUCCCCAGAGCUGCUCCAGGGGCUGGGCUCACAUGCCCCCAGGCAGUUCAAACAUUUUCAAAACCUUACUAGGGCAGUGGGAGGAGGUGCUGCCAGCUGCUCCCACACCCUGCCCCCUCUGCCCUGCUAGAGAAAGAGCCAGAUGAGUCCAGAGAUUACAAGCCCUGGAUCAACAUGGGCUAUUCAGGAUGAAGUGCCAUAGUCCUGGGUUCUGACGCCCUCUGGUGGACACCUAGAGUUGAAGUUGGUAACCAACAGACUACUGUGUCCAGGUCACUUCUCCCAGCUUUACUCCCACCCACAGUCUGUUUGCCUGUGUUUACUUUUUAAGUCAUCAGGAUGUACACUACCAAGAGUGAAUCGUAAUGUCAACUAUGGACGAUAAUGAUGUGUCAAGUGAGGUUCAUUGAUUGUGACAAAGGGUAAUUUUAGGGGAAAUGAGUAGCUUCCAGAAGAUCUUCUGUAAGCAAAAUGAAAGAUAGUAUUGCUAGUGGUGAACUCAAGAUUUACAGCUUCAACUUUCACUCUUUUGAAGCAUUCUGAAUACCCCGGAAGCAAAACUCCUCUUCGUUCCGCUUUCUUUCCCAUGACUCUUUGUUAACCUCAAAGGCAGGUACAGAGUCUUAGCCAUCAUUGUAUUCCUAGUGCCUUGCACAAUGGCACAUAAAAAGCUAGUUUCAUCUCCACAUGACUGUUAUCGCCAUCGACUUGCCGAGCCAGACUAAACCGGGUAUAUGACAAUGGUUCUCCACCAAACUGAUAUUUAAAAAAGAAAAAAGGACAGAGAGAAAGCAUUAUGAGAGAAGAAAGGGAAUAGGGACAGUUAAAGAAAGUUUGGUGAGGUGUUAUACAUAUUAUUGGGCCAUUACUAUGACUUGCUAUACAUUCUCAAGGAAAAAAGUUCCCCCUUCAAAUCAGCAUUCUCCUCUGUGCCCAGUUCUGUCAACGGCAGAUGAGGGCUGGAUCACACACUGGCCUUCAUCUCAUUCAGACUUUUCAUUCAGGGUUUCUGUUAUGCAUGUCUACUGGUAUACAAUUUGACCAGUGCUUUCUUUACUUCAUCUUACCUACUUGAUUGUCUCUCUGCCCUGAAACUUCUUACAAGAUUUUCCAUAAUUAGCUCUACUCAAGACUGAAUAUACCCUUCCUUUGUGAGAUCAGUUACGCCUCAAGACCACCACUUCGAAUAUAAAUGAAUACCUGAUGACAGCUUUGGGUAUUAUCUCCUGCUUACUGGGUGAAAGCCAUCCUUGUAUACUUCGUAUUCUUGCAAACUGGUGACAGAGAAAUCUUUCUUACUGAAAAUCUUACCAAGUUAGAGAAUGCUGAUCUUGCUUGAUCCAUCAUUGCGAGCUGCCACACAGAAGAGCCUAGUAGUAAAAUAGAGAAUUAAUAUAAUGAGGUACAUACCACUGUAUCAGACUGGUGAGGACUUUUCAUUACCACAUUAGAUUAUUGUAUAUCAAAUAUCCUUUUAAAUAUAUUAUCACCUUUCUAGAAACGGUCUUUAACCAAAAUAUUUAGUUUACAUGACAACUAAAUUUAGUGUGAUCCUUGAUUAGAUCUAAAUUGGGGCAGGGGGUGGGCAGCUUGAAGGACAUUAUUGGAAGAAACAAGAAAUUUGAAUAUAGACUGUAUCCUAGAUAACAGGAUUGUAUCAAUAUUAGAUUUAGGAGUGUGAUAAUGGUAUUGUGUUUUUUGGAGGAGAACGCCCUUGUUCUUAGGAGAUGAAUGCCAAAGAAUUUAAGGAUGAAGUAUUGUGAUGUCUGUCACUUAAUUCCAAAGAGUUCAGUUUAAAAAGUAUGUAAGAAAUAAAGGAAAUGUGGUUAACGAUCAGUGAA